GGAGAGGUACGAAAGUGGCUUAAUCGGAUAGUCUUGAAAACUAUUGUGGCAGCAAUGUCACCGUGGGUUCGAAUCCCACCCUCUCCG
Molecule: transfer RNA, 87 nt
Filed under: Patescibacteria group bacterium
Lineage: Bacteria
Description: tRNA-Ser
Rfam family: tRNA
About the family: Transfer RNA (tRNA) molecules are approximately 80 nucleotides in length. Their secondary structure includes four short double-helical elements and three loops (D, anti-codon, and T loops).
Source: RNAcentral